CCMGCUCCAAGAGUGUAUAUUAAAGUUGUUGCGGUUAAAAAGCUCGUAGUUGGGUUUCAACUCUCAGGGGGCGGUCCGUUAUUUGACGCGACUGCCCCAUUUGAGAGUGUUUCUUCGGCGGAACUCCCGGGGUGCUCUUCGCCGAGUGUCCCGUUGGGGGCCGCCAGUUUUACUUUGAAAAAAUUAGAGUGCUCCAAGCAGGCUCGACACGCCUGAAUAUUUGUGCAUGGAAUAAUGGAAUAGGACGUCGUUCCUAUUUUGUUGGUUUUCGGGAAUCGACGUAAUGAUUAAUAGGGACAGCCGGGGGCAUUAGUAUUGCGGUGUUAGAGGUGAAAUUCUUGGAUCGCCGCAAGACGAACAACUGCGAAAGCAUUUGCCAAGAAUGUUUUCAUUAAUCAAGAACGAAAGUUGGAGGUUCGAAGACGAUUAGAUACCGUCCUAGUUCCAACCAUAAACGAUGCCAACUAGCGAUUAGCCGCUGUUACUAAUACGACACGGCUAGCAGCUUCCGGGAAACCAAAGUUUUUGGGUUCCGGGGGAAGUAUGGUUGCAAAGCUGAAACUUAAAGGAAUUGACGGAAGGGCACCACCAGGAGUGGAGCCUGCGGCUUAAUUCGACUCAAC
RNAcentral lists this ribosomal RNA (623 nucleotides) under Copepoda environmental sample. RNAcentral's name for it is "bacterial SSU rRNA". It matches the Rfam family "Eukaryotic small subunit ribosomal RNA", at positions 587 to 1215 of the family's 1831-position model. The record is from RNAcentral. Lineage: Eukaryota; Metazoa; Arthropoda; Copepoda.